UACGUAGGGUGCAAGCGUUGUCCGGAAUUAUUGGGCGUAAAGAGCUCGUAGGCGGUCUGUUGCGUCGGCUGUGAAAUCCCGAGGCUCAACCUCGGGUCUGCAGUCGAUACGGGCAAACUAGAGUAUUGCAGGGGAGACUGGAAUUCCUGGUGUAGCGGUGAAAUGCGCAGAUAUCAGGAGGAACACCGGUGGCGAAGGCGGGUCUCUGGGCAAUAACUGACGCUGAGGAGCGAAAGCGUGGGGAGCGAACAGG
Molecule: ribosomal RNA, 253 nt
Filed under: uncultured bacterium
Lineage: Bacteria
Description: partial 16S ribosomal RNA
Rfam family: Bacterial small subunit ribosomal RNA
Source: RNAcentral